RNAcentral lists this ribosomal RNA (253 nucleotides) under uncultured bacterium. RNAcentral's name for it is "partial 16S ribosomal RNA". It matches the Rfam family "Bacterial small subunit ribosomal RNA", at positions 524 to 776 of the family's 1533-position model. The record is from RNAcentral.
UACGUAGGGUGCGAGCGUUAAUCGGAAUUACUGGGCGUAAAGCGUGCGCAGGCGGUGAUGUAAGUCAGAUGUGAAAUCCCCGGGCUCAACCUGGGAACUGCAUUUGAGACUGCAUCGCUGGAGUGCGGAAGAGGGGGAUGGAAUUCCGCGUGUAGCAGUGAAAUGCGUAGAUAUGCGGAGGAACACCGAUGGCGAAGGCAAUCCCCUGGGCCUGCACUGACGCUCAUGCACGAAAGCGUGGGGAGCAAACAGG